AAUUUUCCUAAAUAUCUCAAAAUAAGAAAAAUAAAUACAAAAAAUUGUAUAGAAAUCUCAUAUUAAUCUUGAAUCUUGUCGCUAUCAUAAUACGUGAAGUCUUGCUUGAGAAUGCUUUGGGCACUUGGCUGUGGAAGGUAGAAUAGAAAUUACAACAACAAAAUCCUAACUCUAAUAGAAUACUAACUAAACUCUAAUUAGAUCAUAACAACACUAAGCAAGCUUUAAUCAAAUUCAAAGAAACUUCAAAGGAAUUACAAAGAAAAAAUAAGAAAUCUUAAAGAAAUAAUAGAAUGAUCACAAAUAUAUAUCAAAUACAUCUCAAUUCAAUCUUAAUUUAAUCUUAGUUAAAAUCCUAUUGGACUACAUUCAAACUUUAGGCCAAAAACUAACUAAAUCUUAAAUCCUAAAUAAAUCCUAAUAAAAUCCUAAAUCUUAAAUCAAAUCCUAAAAAAACCCUAAAUCAAACCCUAAUCAAAUCCUAAUUAAAUCCUAAAUUCUAAAUCAAAUCCUAGUAAUUUCUACAACAGAUUUAAACCUCAUUUAUUAAUGAAUGAACCGUUGAU
RNAcentral lists this long non-coding RNA (566 nucleotides) under Physcomitrium patens. RNAcentral's name for it is "long non-coding RNA (PPAT_LNC001924)". The record is from RNAcentral. Lineage: Eukaryota; Viridiplantae; Streptophyta; Bryopsida; Funariales; Funariaceae.